This 235-nucleotide ribosomal RNA is filed under the name uncultured bacterium. Its description in RNAcentral is "partial 16S ribosomal RNA". It matches the Rfam family "Bacterial small subunit ribosomal RNA", at positions 15 to 255 of the family's 1533-position model. The record is from RNAcentral.
GAUCCUGCUCAGGACGAACGCUGGCGGCGUGCUUCAUACAUGCAAGUCGAACGAGAAAUUCACUUCGGUGGAUGGAAAGUGGCGGACGGGUGAGUAAUGUGUAGAGAAUCUGCCCUAGAGCGGGGGACAACAGCUGGAAACGGUUGCUAAUACCCCAUAUGAGCGUAUCUGAAAUGGUAUUCUUGAAAACUCCGGUGCUCUAGGAUGAGUCUGCAUCUGAUUAGCUAGUUGGGGG